UUUUUGGAGAGUUUGAUCCUGGCUCAGGACGAACGCUGGCGGCGUGCCUAAUACAUGCAAGUCGAGCGAGUCUCUUCGGAGACUAGCGGCGGACGGGUGAGUAACACGUAGGCAACCUGCCCGUAAGACCGGGAUAACGUUCGGAAACGAACGCUAAUACCGGAUAGGUGGAGAGAAGGCAUCUUCUUUCCUGGAAAGGCGGAGCAAUCUGCCACUUACGGAUGGGCCUGCGGCGCAUUAGCUAGUUGGCGGGGUAACGGCCCACCAAGGCGACGAUGCGUAGCCGACCUGAGAGG
RNAcentral lists this ribosomal RNA (296 nucleotides) under Paenibacillus flagellatus. Its description in RNAcentral is "Bacterial small subunit ribosomal RNA". It matches the Rfam family "Bacterial small subunit ribosomal RNA", at positions 1 to 299 of the family's 1533-position model. The record is from Rfam by way of RNAcentral. Lineage: Bacteria; Bacillati; Bacillota; Bacilli; Caryophanales; Paenibacillaceae.